UAGCGUAAUCACUUGUUCUUUAAUUGAGGACUAGUAUGAACGGCCCCACGAGGACUACACUGUCUCCUUUUUCUAAUCAAUGAAACUGAUCUCCUCGUGAAGAAGCGAGGAUGAUUAUAUAAGACGAGAAGACCCUAUGGAGCUUUAAACAACCGGGGUACUUGCUAAUUCAUUUUAUAUCUUCUGAAAACUAAACAAAUUAAAGCAUCUUACCACCAAGUUUUAGGUUGGGGUGACCACGGAGAAAAAAUUAACCUCCACGCUGUAAGAAAUCCACCAUCUUCUAAGCUUAGAGCCACAUUUCCAAGCAUCAACAUAUUGACUUCCAUUGACCCAAUAAUUUGAUCAACGAACCAAGUUACCCUAGGGAUAACAGCGCAAUCUACUUUAAGAGCUCAUAUCGACAAGUAGGUUUACGACCUCGAUGUU
RNAcentral lists this ribosomal RNA (429 nucleotides) under Ranitomeya variabilis (Zimmermann's poison frog). Its description in RNAcentral is "partial 16S ribosomal RNA". It matches the Rfam family "Bacterial large subunit ribosomal RNA", at positions 1957 to 2533 of the family's 2925-position model. The record is from RNAcentral. Lineage: Eukaryota; Metazoa; Chordata; Amphibia; Anura; Dendrobatidae.